GGAGGAAAAGAAACCAACAGGGAUUGCCCCAGUAAUGGCGAAUGAAGCGGCAAGAGCCCAAAUUUGAAAUCGGGCAACCGAGUUGUAAUUUGGAGACGGGACACUAGAGAGGAGGAAGGCGAUUAAGUGCCUUGGAACAGGCUGCCGUAGAGGGUGAGAGCCCCGUGAAUCGCUGGAGACCGAUCAAUUAGUGCCCGCCGAAGAGUCGAGUUGUUUGGGAAUGCAGCUCUAAGUGGGUGGUAUAUUCCAUCUAAGGCUAAAUAUUAGCGAGAGACCGAUAGCAAACAAGUACAGUGAUGGAAAGAUGAAAAGAACUUUGGAAAGAGAGUGAAAUAGUACGUGAAAUUGUUGAAAGGGAAGGGUAUUUGAUCCGACAUGGUGUUUAGCAGCGGCCCGUUCCUCGUGGAUGGGUGCACCUGGUUUACACUGGGCCAGCAUCGGUUCUGGGAGCCAUAUACGGGGUUCGUGAAUGUGGCCCUUCGAUUCUGUCGGAGGGUGUUAUAGCGCGGGCAUCUUGUGGCUAGCCGGGACCGGGGACUGCGGUGACUUGUCACCAAGGAUGCUGGCAGAACGAGCAAAUACCACCCGUC
RNAcentral lists this ribosomal RNA (590 nucleotides) under Brettanomyces bruxellensis. Its description in RNAcentral is "eukaryotic LSU rRNA". It matches the Rfam family "Eukaryotic large subunit ribosomal RNA", at positions 52 to 653 of the family's 3401-position model. Lineage: Eukaryota; Fungi; Ascomycota; Pichiomycetes; Pichiales; Pichiaceae. The record is from RNAcentral.